Molecule: ribosomal RNA, 270 nt
Filed under: Triticum aestivum (bread wheat)
Lineage: Eukaryota; Viridiplantae; Streptophyta; Magnoliopsida; Poales; Poaceae
Description: partial small subunit ribosomal RNA
Source: RNAcentral
AUGGGCCGGCAGAUCUCAUCACCAUGCCGCAGCCAAGAUGGGGCUGGGAGGGAAUUGCUGAAAGAAUGUCCCAAACACAAAAUUCUAGAUUCUCUACUGAAGGCAUAUAGGUACACACAGAUCUUAGUUGGAAGACCAUCCGCCAUCGUCUCCGCCGACUAUUUGCCGGAAGACCAUCAGUCGUCACCUAGACCUACUUCGCGGCAGGUAUCUUUUUUCUUUGUGCAAAUUAUGACGGAGCUAUGUCUGAUUUACAGUUUUUACAACUAG